UGUCAUAUGCCUGGACAAUUGCUGACCGA
This 29-nucleotide non-coding RNA is filed under the name Rattus norvegicus (Norway rat). The record is from RNAcentral. Lineage: Eukaryota; Metazoa; Chordata; Mammalia; Rodentia; Muridae.